RNAcentral lists this ribosomal RNA (533 nucleotides) under Triticum aestivum (bread wheat). RNAcentral describes it as "partial small subunit ribosomal RNA". Lineage: Eukaryota; Viridiplantae; Streptophyta; Magnoliopsida; Poales; Poaceae. The record is from RNAcentral.
UAUUUAUUAGGAUCCAUUUCUGUACUACUAAUGUCUAUUGCCUUCUCCAUGCAUCCAGCAGUGUACAGGACGUCCUCCUCCUCAAAGUGUCCAUCCAUGACGAGCUCCCUUCGCUGCAGGAGGAGCAGCAAGUCCAGCACCUGCUUGUCUCCUGUGUCCUAUAGCGCGUGGACAAGCUCACCAAUGGAUGUGUCUUCCUUCCCUCCUACCGUGGCCAAAGCAAGGAGUGUGCCGGAUUGAGCAGUGUAAUGGAAUCGUAACUCCAAGCUGUUGACUGUUGUGGCAUGUCAUCUGCCUUCAAACCAAUAUUAUAUAUUGUUUUAUGGCAGCAUCUUCAACAACGAAGACAUGUGUUCUAAAGACUUUGGUGUGGAUGGGUGGAUCUAACGACCAGGAAUGUGGGAUGACCCGUGAUUCAUGUCCGACGAGCAUUGGGCCUUGCUUGAUGGGGGCGGUGCUGAUUAUAGAGUAGCAUAGUGUUCUUCGAGAUAUGCUUGUAAAAUAAAAAAAUUUGUCAUUUUUGUUUUGCUCAU